CACGUGCGCUCCUUCUCCAGC
Molecule: microRNA, 21 nt
Filed under: Aegilops tauschii
Lineage: Eukaryota; Viridiplantae; Streptophyta; Magnoliopsida; Poales; Poaceae
Description: ata-miR164a-3p
Gene: ata-miR164a-3p
Source: miRBase by way of RNAcentral